This 301-nucleotide ribosomal RNA is filed under the name uncultured bacterium. RNAcentral's name for it is "partial 16S ribosomal RNA". It matches the Rfam family "Bacterial small subunit ribosomal RNA", at positions 509 to 807 of the family's 1533-position model. The record is from RNAcentral.
CAGUCGCCACGGGAAUACGUAGGGUGCGAGCGUUAAUCGGAAUUACUGGGCGUAAAGCGUGCGCAGGCGGUUGUGUAAGACAGGUGUGAAAUCCCCGGGCUUAACCUGGGAACUGCGCUUGUGACUGCACAGCUAGAGUAUGGCAGAGGGGGGUGGAAUUCCACGUGUAGCAGUGAAAUGCGUAGAGAUGUGGAGGAACACCGAUGGCGAAGGCAGCCCCCUGGGCCAAUACUGACGCUCAUGCACGAAAGCGUGGGGAGCAAACAGGAUUAGAUACCCCCGUAGUCCCUGUCUCUUAUAC